UCUGUAGGGACACUGAGUCUGGAGGGACACUGAGUCUGGAGGAACACUGAGUCUGUGUUUUUUCUCUUUUAGAAGUGGUCAACCUAUUGGUUCAGGCUCCAAAACACAACAUUAUUCUUCUACACUAAGAAACAUGGGAGUGCUUCACACCUAAGAGGCCUGUACUACAUCUACACUGUGCAGUCCGUGCGUGAGAUCCAUAGGGAGAAGCGUAAGCACUACGUGUUUGAAAUCACCAUGAAGAAUGGGAAGAGGAAAGUACUGGUGAGUCACACAGACAGCUCUACUCCCACUUCAGGUGUACAGAACAGUGUGGUGUGGGCUGUACAGGCUGCCCUGUUGUUUCAGGAUGUGGUCUGUUACCAGUGUCACUACAGAACCGUGUGGGCGCCGAUGCCUGUGUAGGUUUAACAUGUAGUUUCAGGAUGUGGUCUGUUACCAGUGUCACUACAGAACCGUGUGGGCGCCGAUGCCUGUGUAGGUUUAACAUGUAGUUUCAGGAUGUGGUCUGUUACCAGUGUCACUACAGAACCGUGUGGGCGCCGAUGCCUGUGUAGGUUUAACAUGUAGUUUCAGGAUGUGGUCUGUUACCAGUGUCACUACAGAACCGUGUGGGCGCCGAUGCCUGUGUAGGUUUAACAUGUAGUUUCAGGAUGUGGUCUGUUACCAGUGUCACUACAGAACCGUGUGGGCGCCGAUGCCUGUGUAGGUUUAACAUGUUGUUUCAGGAUGUGGUCUGUUACCAGUGUCACUACAGAACCGUGUGGGCGCCGAUGCCUGUGUAGGUUUAACAUGUAGUUUCAGGAUGUGGUCUGUUACCAGUGUCACUACAGAACCGUGUGGGCGCCGAUGCCUGUGUAGGUUUAACAUGUAGUUUCAGGAUGUGGUCUGUUACCAGUGUCACUACAGAACCCUGUGGGCGCCGAUGCCUGUGUAGGUUUAACAUGUAGUUUCAGGAUGUGGUCUGUUACCAGUGUCACUACAGAACCCUGUGGGCGCCGAUGCCUGUGUAGGUUUAACAUGUAGUUUCAGGAUGUGGUCUGUUACCAGUGUCACUACAGAACCCUGUGGGCGCCGAUGCCUGUGUAGGUUUAACAUGUAGUUUCAG
Non-coding RNA from Salmo salar (Atlantic salmon), 1108 nucleotides. The record is from RefSeq and is a predicted model, not a curated record. NCBI's taxonomy places the organism in Eukaryota, Metazoa, Chordata, Actinopteri, Salmoniformes, Salmonidae.